CAAACCUUGACACCCACCUGCAUUAUGUGAAUACAAAAGCUUCAUGUUGGGUUUUACGAGCUUUGGCAGAUUUAACCACCCCCCCACCUCCUGGCUGGGGAGGCAGGAGUUUCUCUGGCAGCGAGGUAAGAAGAUGGGUCGAUGUGAUUUGGCUUUGUUUCCUUUAGGUGACUUUGGCUUUCGGGAGAGAAAGUUUAAAACCCAGCACAUUCCUCUUUAUAAAUGAUGUAACACAUUAAUGCACAGCACAUUAUGAAAAUGGUAAUUCAAACCCAUAGUGCUCCAAAUUAAACCAUACAUUAUCGGAUGCACUCAACCAUCUAUUUUGCAAAAAGACAGGAUGAAUGAAAUCAAAUCAAACAGAACCGGAGAGCAGCUUCCCCUACAGAAUGAUUAAUAAAGUGUAGAGCCUCAGGAUUAUUGCAAGACGAAUUCCACCGUAACCCAGACGUACAUCAGGAGUUAGCUCCUAUAUUGAGAGACACGUCAUAGUAUGCUGGGGAGGGCAAGGCGAUGAUGGACGCCCCAUGCCUCCCACUUGGGCUACGGAUUUCUCAGGAGGGGCCCCCGGUUUGCAGAGCGCGCACUGCCCGCCAGGUCGCAUCCUCACCGAGAAAGCAAAGCAAACCAGCAGCGCAGCAACGGCUCGCCGGGCGCGGCCAGGAGGGGGCGGGCAGCCCGCCUCGACGUGCGCCCGACACGUGUCCGCCGGCCCCUGCUCCCCUCCGGCCUCGGCCUCGGGGAACCGCCUCGCACGGGAGGUCCCCGGCCCCGCCGCGCAUCCUGGCAAUCGGCGCCCGAGGAUGCCCAAGCCUGCGCCAGCCGCGUGACCGAGGGCGCUUCGGGGUCCCAGUGACUCCGCGCCUUCUCAGCACCACCCAGACCCCGUCCAGAGAAGGCUCGGGAGGCACCAAUGCCUGGGGUCGACAGCCCAGCGCUGGCCUCGGGGAGCCCCUGAGCCUCGCAAAGCACCAGUCCCUGCAGGCGCACGAACUCUUUGGUUUCAAGGCGUCUAAAAGGCGGCCCGCAAGAGGAAAGCAGGCGCGUUUCGAGUGGGCCGCGCGCGGGCGUCGUCGGGGCCGGCGCCGGUCACGCAUCUUCCCGCCACUAGGUGGCGCCGGAGGCACGCCGACUUCGCAUCCCUGCAGGGCUCUGGGGACGGUGCUGGGGACCGUCCUGGUGCAGCCAGGAGUCUGAGCCCCGCGCCCCGGUUCUCUCUCCGAGCCCCUCGUGCCUCGAAUCCAGGCCCAGAGGAAAAACUGCAUUUACACACUCCCUCCACCCUGUCCCCAGGAAAUGUCAAGGACUUUGAAGUGAGCCUGGGAGCUAAAUAACCAAGUGGAAAAAAAACCCAUAAAGGCGGUUUUAUGUUAUUUGUAAUGCGUUGGCAGAAGUUCUGUGUUUUUUUCCUCCCCCCACCUCCUUUCUUGAGGAAAGGCAUUAAACUCGACCUUGAACGGAAAUCUCAGAAGGAAACCAUAAGGUAUUUAAACAAGAAUAAAGGAAGGACAUCUGCUCA
RNAcentral lists this long non-coding RNA (1519 nucleotides) under Vulpes vulpes (red fox). RNAcentral describes it as "lncRNA (ENSVVUG00000020078.1)". Lineage: Eukaryota; Metazoa; Chordata; Mammalia; Carnivora; Canidae. The record is from RNAcentral.